This is a non-coding RNA of Phalacrocorax carbo (great cormorant), 1016 nucleotides long. Lineage: Eukaryota; Metazoa; Chordata; Aves; Suliformes; Phalacrocoracidae. The record is from RefSeq and is a predicted model, not a curated record.
UCAAACAUAUUGCAGACUCAUGCCAUAGAGAUUUGGCUCCUUAAUUUGAAUAGUAGCAGCUCAAGGUCCUGAUGUGAUGGCAAAGAAAGAACUGUCAUCCUUGCUUACAGACAACAUUCAGCCAGUGGAUAAUAUUUGAUAUGUGCAAUUUUUUGUUAUCUUGAUUCUCAAAACAUGUACUUUGUGAGUGCUAAACAGGGAAAUUAGAAACCUUAUAAUAAGAUAUUUCUUUAGUUAAACCAAUUUCUCCCCAGAUGAUGAGGUUGUUACCACAGACUUUGAUCAAACAGAGUGCUUCUAAAGCAAGAACACACUGGUUGGAAAUACAUGAGAGGGAGAAAUAACUGAGAGCAUCAGUUGCUCACAGGAUGAUUAUGGUCCAUCAAUGUGAUCUGACUGUGAAGAAGAGACAAGCACUUUACUCAAAAAAGAGCAGCUCCCAUACCAUCUUUCUGCCUGUUCUAUCUACUAAGUUACAGCACAUGCUUCUCUCUCAGUUUUGGCAAUGAAGAAAGUAGACGCAUGAUGCCGCACCAUCUGUUUCUGGCUGUUAGUGGGGGUAGGAAGGGGCAGAGAUCGUAUACCCCAAUUUCCCCACACACCAUGAGAAAAUACCAGUGGAUAACCUUUAUUUCCCUUCGGCUAUGAGGUGUAUGGAGCAAACUCAGCCGCCUUACUUAAAUGCAGCAUUGCGCUGGAGUCCCAGAAGUCACUUAUAUGCGCUGCUGCGUGAUGGAGCGGUCUGGCCCCAUAGCUGUGUUCCUGGGGUAACUAAGCAAUGCUGAACACGCACACCCAAGGUCUAGGGGGGCACUGAACUGAGCUUAGCAAUUUGUUCCACCAUCUUCACUCAGGCAAAGCUUUUGGUGAUUUAUAGUUGCGUGGAGAGAGGGGCUAAGCUGUAACCUUGUUUAAAUGUUCACAUGCAAUUGUUUUUCCUGGAGCUCUGAAUAAAGUGCCAUCAUGCUUCUCAACAGGAAAAAAAAUUUGGAUAAGCUUUCAGAAAAGCUGAAGAA